RNAcentral lists this ribosomal RNA (248 nucleotides) under uncultured Gardnerella sp. Its description in RNAcentral is "partial 16S ribosomal RNA". It matches the Rfam family "Bacterial small subunit ribosomal RNA", at positions 109 to 356 of the family's 1533-position model. The record is from RNAcentral. Lineage: Bacteria; Bacillati; Actinomycetota; Actinomycetes; Bifidobacteriales; Bifidobacteriaceae.
AGUAAUGCGUGACCAACCUCGCCCCAUGCUCCAGAAUAGCUCUUGGAAACGGGUGGUAAUGCUGGAUGCUCCAACUUGACGCAUGUCUUGUUGGGAAAGUGUUUAGUGGCAUGGGAUGGGGUCGCGUCCUAUCAGCUUGUAGGCGGGGUAAUGGCCCACCUAGGCUUUCGACGGGUAGCCGGGCCUGANAGGGCGGACGGCCACAUUGGGACUGAGAUAGGCCCAGACUCCUACGGGAGGCAGCAGCG